This is a long non-coding RNA of Astatotilapia calliptera (eastern happy), 1198 nucleotides long. The record is from Ensembl. Lineage: Eukaryota; Metazoa; Chordata; Actinopteri; Cichliformes; Cichlidae.
GGUGAGUCAUAAAAGUCAGAUUCAGAGGCAGGCUGGCCAAAUCUGACAUCCACUGGUAAUGAGUGGAGCGUUUCUCUUGAACCUAGAGGGAUGUUGUUUAAAACUGUCUUAAGUAUGGUGCAGAUUAUUAAUAUUACCGGUUGAACUUAAACACAUGUGGUUAGUUUAUUGUGUUUAUUUAGUUUGGCUUGUGCAGCCGAAACAGAGAACAGUAAUCCGUGGAGCAUUCAAACCCUGUAAGUAGACCCUUGAUCAUGCACAAGCGCAGACAGACAACUGCACACAUGUAACAAGGUUGCGGAUUUAUGCGCACGUUACACAAGCUCUCGUCGCUGUGUGCAUGCAGAAUCACAAAUGCACCCACCAAAACACACGACACCUAUUCCACAAUUCAUUUGUCAUAUCAUUAUGCAAAUGCUGCACACUGAGCAAAUCUCAAACCUCUCAAAGCCGCAGUGGGAAAACUGGAGAAUAGUGAUGAGACGUAUCCCUGUGCUUCUGACCUUCUUUUUUUUUUUUUUUUUAACUGUUAACAUUUUAUUUGCUUAAUGUCAAUAUGUCAAAAGUAUGCAUGUAACACCUUUAAUACUUGUUUUUUAAUAAGAAAAACAAGGUGCUACACUGAGUUGCACAGCAGCCCUCAUUUGCAAUAAAGGCACAUUUCUAAUAUCAGAGCCUACGUUCUGAGCAAGUGACCAAGUUGAGGUGUGAUCUGUUAUUUAGACAGGUUGGAUGCACUUCCUCACAGCCUGAAAUUUCCCCCGGGGGCUCUCUUCCAUUUCUCACUGUCAUGGAUUUGAAUCUUUUUACCACUGAACUCUUACAAUUACUGAACAUUCAUCACCUGCCUACCUUCUUAGCUACCUAGAUACUGUAUGGAGACCAGAGAUAUGGGGCAGACUGGUGCAGUCGGGAAUACCAAAUAAGACUGCUGUAACACAGUAAGGAAUUCUAAAAUCCUAAGAUCACAGGAACAUGUUUAUUUUAUUAGUACCAGCAGUGUUACUUGGUUACAUGCUUUUAUUUAACUAACAAAAAGCUAAACUGAGUGAGGACACUUCAUGUUAAUGAGCUAGCAACAGGUCGCCACACACCAAACAUUACCCCCCUUUUAUUGUCUAUUUUACUAUAAACAGGACUAGUUUACAAAAUCAGUCUUAUGCUAUUUAAAACACACUUAACUUUCAACCAGUUCUCU